Pteronotus mesoamericanus is the source of this 107-nucleotide small nuclear RNA. NCBI's taxonomy places the organism in Eukaryota, Metazoa, Chordata, Mammalia, Chiroptera, Mormoopidae. The record is from RefSeq and is a predicted model, not a curated record.
GCGCUCACUUUAGCAGCCCAUAGACUAAAACUGGGACAACGCAGAGAAGCUUAGCGUGGCCCCUGUACAAAGAUGGCACCCAAAUUUGUGAAGUGUUCCAUAUUUUU